RNAcentral lists this ribosomal RNA (484 nucleotides) under uncultured bacterium. Its description in RNAcentral is "partial 16S ribosomal RNA". It matches the Rfam family "Bacterial small subunit ribosomal RNA", at positions 30 to 507 of the family's 1533-position model. The record is from RNAcentral.
AUUGAACGCUGGCGGCAGGCCUAACACAUGCAAGUCGAGCGGAUGAAGGGAGCUUGCUCCUGGAUUCAGCGGCGGACGGGUGAGUAAUGCCUAGGAAUCUGCCUGGUAGUGGGGGAUAACGUCCGGAAACGGGCGCUAAUACCGCAUACGUCCUGAGGGAGAAAGUGGGGGAUCAUUGGUCCUCACGCUAUCUGAUGAGACUAGGUCGCAUUAGCUAGUUGGUGGGGUAAAGGCCUACCAAGGCGACGAUCCGUAACUGGUCUGAGAGGAUGAUCAGUCACACUGGAACUGAGACACGGUCCAGACUCCUACGGGAGGCAGCAGUGGGGAAUAUUGGACAAUGGGCGAAAGCCUGAUCCAGCCAUGCCGCGUGUGUGAAGAAGGUCUUCGGAUUGUAAAGCACUUUAAGUUGGGAGGAAGGGCAGUAAGUUAAUACCUUGCUGUUUUGACGUUACCAACAGAAUAAGCACCGGCUAACUUCGUG